GCCAACUUAGCUCAAUCUGGUAGAGAACUGAAUCGUAAUCAGUAGGUUGCGGGUUCAAUUCCUGCAGUUGGCA
This 73-nucleotide transfer RNA is filed under the name Listeria booriae. RNAcentral describes it as "tRNA-Thr". It matches the Rfam family "tRNA". Rfam says of the family: Transfer RNA (tRNA) molecules are approximately 80 nucleotides in length. Lineage: Bacteria; Bacillati; Bacillota; Bacilli; Caryophanales; Listeriaceae. The record is from RNAcentral.